This 328-nucleotide ribosomal RNA is filed under the name uncultured eukaryote. RNAcentral's name for it is "partial 18S ribosomal RNA". It matches the Rfam family "Eukaryotic small subunit ribosomal RNA", at positions 1470 to 1796 of the family's 1831-position model. The record is from RNAcentral.
CCCUUAGAUGUCCUGGGCCGCACGCGCGUUACACUGAUGCAUUCAACGAGCUUAUAACCUUGGCCGAGAGGCCUGGGCAAUCUUGUUAACGUGCAUCGUGAUAGGGAUAGAUUAUUGAAAUUAUUAAGCUUGAACGAGGAAUUCCUAGUAAACGCAGAUCAUCAAUCUGCAUUGAUUACGUCCCUGCCCUUUGUACACACCGCCCGUCGCACCUACCGAUUGGAUGGUCCGGUGAAGCCUCGGGAUUGUGGUUCUUGCCGCUUUAUUGUGGCGUGACCGCGAGAACUUGUCUAAACCUUAUCAUCUAGAGGAAGGUGAAGUCGUAACA